RNAcentral lists this ribosomal RNA (623 nucleotides) under uncultured Micrococcaceae bacterium. RNAcentral describes it as "bacterial SSU rRNA". It matches the Rfam family "Bacterial small subunit ribosomal RNA", at positions 108 to 743 of the family's 1533-position model. The record is from RNAcentral. Lineage: Bacteria; Bacillati; Actinomycetota; Actinomycetes; Micrococcales; Micrococcaceae.
GAGUAACACGUGAGUAACCUGCCCUUAACUCUGGGAUAAGCCUGGGAAACUGGGUCUAAUACCGGAUAUGACUCCUCAUCGCAUGGUGGGGGGUGGAAAGCUUUAUUGUGGUUUUGGACGGACUCGCGGCCUAUCAGCUUGUUGGUGAGGUAAUGGCUCACCAAGGCGACGACGGGUAGCCGGCCUGAGAGGGUGACCGGCCACACUGGGACUGAGACACGGCCCAGACUCCUACGGGAGGCAGCAGUGGGGAAUAUUGCACAAUGGGCGCAAGCCUGAUGCAGCGACGCCGCGUGAGGGAUGACGGCCUUCGGGUUGUAAACCUCUUUCAGUAGGGAAGAAGCGAAAGUGACGGUACCUGCAGAAGAAGCGCCGGCUAACUACGUGCCAGCAGCCGCGGUAAUACGUAGGGCGCAAGCGUUAUCCGGAAUUAUUGGGCGUAAAGAGCUCGUAGGCGGUUUGUCGCGUCUGCCGUGAAAGUCCGGGGCUCAACUCCGGAUCUGCGGUGGGUACGGGCAGACUAGAGUGAUGUAGGGGAGACUGGAAUUCCUGGUGUAGCGGUGAAAUGCGCAGAUAUCAGGAGGAACACCGAUGGCGAAGGCAGGUCUCUGGGCAUUAACUGA